Molecule: non-coding RNA, 74 nt
Organism: Mesocricetus auratus (golden hamster)
Lineage: Eukaryota; Metazoa; Chordata; Mammalia; Rodentia; Cricetidae
Source: Rfam
GGAAAGAUGGCUCAGUGAUUGAGAGCACUGGCUGCUCUUCCAGAGGACGUGGGUUCAAUUCCCAGCCCUAUAUG